AGUCAGCCGGGCAAUUGCUGUUUUGCUUCUUUAUUGAAGUGGGAUGGAGGAAAGUCCGGGCUCCAUAGAGCAGGGUGCCAGGUAACGCCUGGGGGGUGUGAACCCACGGCAAGUGCAGCAGAAAAUAAACCGCCUGACGCAUUUCGAUGCAGAGGGUAAGGGUGAAAUGGUGCGGUAAGAGCGCACCGCGCGACUGGUAACAGUUCGCGGCAAGGUAAACCCCACCCGGAGCAAGGCCAAAUAGGAAUCCGCUAAUGUUGCUCGCAUUGGAUUCGGGUAGGCCGCUUAAGGCCUGUGGCGACGCAGGUCACAGAUGAAUAAUUGCCUUCGACAGAACCCGGCUUACAGGCUGACUCAU
This 358-nucleotide RNase P RNA is filed under the name marine eukaryotic metagenome. RNAcentral describes it as "Bacterial RNase P class A". It matches the Rfam family "Bacterial RNase P class A". From Rfam's summary of the family: Ribonuclease P (RNase P) is a ubiquitous endoribonuclease, found in archaea, bacteria and eukarya as well as chloroplasts and mitochondria. Its best characterised activity is the generation of mature 5'-ends of tRNAs by cleaving the 5'-leader elements of precursor-tRNAs. Cellular RNase Ps are ribonucleoproteins. The record is from RNAcentral.